ACAUCAGAUCUCCAAAGCAGCUUUCUUUGUGCUAAUGUAGGAAGGGCGAGUAAGAGUAAAGACCCUUCUCUGUCCAUCGGCCUGUCCUGCCGACUCUGGUGUGAGUGUGAAGCUGUGGCAAGAGGGGUUUCCCGUUCCUGUUUGACCUGGUGGACACCAGCUUUCCUAGGAAAUUGCUGAUGUUGCUGAGGAGGCGGCAGUAUCAAAGGCCUUGUUGAUGAAGGUACAACAAGCUGGGGAGGCUUUGGCAUUUCUGCACAGUGCUGCUCCCUGACUGUCACUCCAGACUCAGAUUCUGAAAGAAGCAAAGCAAGCUAGAGGAAAACUGGAUGUCCAGGAUCCCAAACUCCGUAUUACAGCGGAUCUUCUCCUCUGAUCUGAAAAGCUUCACAAGCCAAAAGAGAAUUGAGAGGAAGAAGGAAACAGAGAAUGCUGACCAGUAUUUCCAAUUACCACCCGUAUUAGGUGAAGAAGAACACUGCAACCAGCUGAAGCCGUAUCGGACGCAUGCUUCUGCUAGG
Anas platyrhynchos (mallard) is the source of this 521-nucleotide non-coding RNA. The record is from RefSeq and is a predicted model, not a curated record. Lineage: Eukaryota; Metazoa; Chordata; Aves; Anseriformes; Anatidae.